Solanum tuberosum (potato) is the source of this 518-nucleotide long non-coding RNA. RefSeq lists it as uncharacterized. The record is from RefSeq and is a predicted model, not a curated record. The transcript has 3 exons. Lineage: Eukaryota; Viridiplantae; Streptophyta; Magnoliopsida; Solanales; Solanaceae.
AGGCGCUAAAAAAUUAAUUCUAAAAGUAAAAAGAAAAAAACUAAUUCUCAAAAUAGAAGUUUGUCCUAAAAGUUGCCCUAUUCUCUUUAGAUCACCACUACAAUUGAGAAUGAAUGAAACCCAGCUGCCCUAGCUAAUCUCAGCGAUGCUUUGCCCCUUGAAUGGAUAGAUGUGUAUUCUUCUUUGUGCUAUUGUUGUCUCCCCUAAUCUCAACGACAUUCUUCCAUUAAAUUGGUAAAGGUGUGUUCAUUCUUCUGAUUGAGUUGUUGCUGCGCUGUUCGAAAUAUAAUCCAACACAACUUUGCUUGGGACAAUAUUUCAGCAUAUAUAAUAUGAGUAACUCUGAUCGUGAGUGGAUGUAUGUUAGAAUACUGGAAGAUGGAUUCAUAAAUCCAAAGUUUAUUGAUGGAGUUGAGAACUUUGUUGCAUUUGCAAAAAAACAUCCACAGUGCAUGGAUGGUGAGAAGUUAAGAUGUCCUUGUAAUCAUCGUAAGUGUCGAAACAAAAAUAUUUUGGAC